RNAcentral lists this ribosomal RNA (253 nucleotides) under uncultured bacterium. RNAcentral describes it as "partial 16S ribosomal RNA". It matches the Rfam family "Bacterial small subunit ribosomal RNA", at positions 524 to 776 of the family's 1533-position model. The record is from RNAcentral.
UACGUAGGGUCCAAGCGUUAAUCGGAAUUACUGGGCGUAAAGCGUGCGCAGGCGGUUUGCUAAGUCAGGUGUGAAAUCCCCGGGCUCAACCUGGGAACUGCGCUUGUAACUAGCAGGCUAGAGUGCGGCAGAGGGGGGUGGAAUUCCACGUGUAGCAGUGAAAUGCGUAGAUAUGUGGAGGAACACCGAUGGCGAAGGCAGCCCCCUGGGUCGACACUGACGCUCAUGCACAAAAGCGUGGGGAGCAAACAGG